UUAAAUUGAAGAGUUUGAUCAUGGCUCAGAUUGAACGCUGGCGGCAGGCCUAACACAUGCAAGUCGAACGGUAACAGGAAGAAGCUUGCUUCUUUGCUGACGAGUGGCGGACGGGUGAGUAAUGUCUGGGAAACUGCCUGAUGGAGGGGGAUAACUACUGGAAACGGUAGCUAAUACCGCAUAACGUCGCAAGACCAAAGAGGGGUACCUUCGGGCCUCUUGCCAUCGGAUGUGCCCAGAUGGGAUUAGCUAGUAGGUGGGGUAACGGCUCACCUAGGCGACGAUCCCUAGCUGGUCUGAGAGGAUGACCAGCCACACUGGAACUGAGACACGGUCCAGACUCCUACGGGAGGCAGCAGUGGGGAAUAUUGCACAAUGGGCGCAAGCCUGAUGCAGCCAUGCCGCGUGUAUGAAGAAGGCCUUCGGGUUGUAAAGUACUUUCAGCGGGGAGGAAGGGAGUAAAGUUAAUACCUUUGCUCAUUGACGUUACCCGCAGAAGAAGCACCGGCUAACUCCGUGCCAGCAGCCGCGGUAAUACGGAGGGUGCAAGCGUUAAUCGGAAUUACUGGGCGUAAAGCGCACGCAGGCGGUUUGUUAAGUCAGAUGUGAAAUCCCCGGGCUCAACCUGGGAACUGCAUCUGAUACUGGCAAGCUUGAGUCUCGUAGAGGGGGGUAGAAUUCCAGGUGUAGCGGUGAAAUGCGUAGAGAUCUGGAGGAAUACCGGUGGCGAAGGCGGCCCCCUGGACGAAGACUGACGCUCAGGUGCGAAAGCGUGGGGAGCAAACAGGAUUAGAUACCCUGGUAGUCCACGCCGUAAACGAUGUCGACUUGGAGGUUGUGCCCUUGAGGCGUGGCUUCCGGAGCUAACGCGUUAAGUCGACCGCCUGGGGAGUACGGCCGCAAGGUUAAAACUCAAAUGAAUUGACGGGGGCCCGCACAAGCGGUGGAGCAUGUGGUUUAAUUCGAUGCAACGCGAAGAACCUUACCUGGUCUUGACAUCCACGGAAGUUUUCAGAGAUGAGAAUGUGCCUUCGGGAACCGUGAGACAGGUGCUGCAUGGCUGUCGUCAGCUCGUGUUGUGAAAUGUUGGGUUAAGUCCCGCAACGAGCGCAACCCUUAUCCUUUGUUGCCAGCGGUCCGGCCGGGAACUCAAAGGAGACUGCCAGUGAUAAACUGGAGGAAGGUGGGGAUGACGUCAAGUCAUCAUGGCCCUUACGACCAGGGCUACACACGUGCUACAAUGGCGCAUACAAAGAGAAGCGACCUCGCGAGAGCAAGCGGACCUCAUAAAGUGCGUCGUAGUCCGGAUUGGAGUCUGCAACUCGACUCCAUGAAGUCGGAAUCGCUAGUAAUCGUGGAUCAGAAUGCCACGGUGAAUACGUUCCCGGGCCUUGUACACACCGCCCGUCACACCAUGGGAGUGGGUUGCAAAAGAAGUAGGUAGCUUAACCUUCGGGAGGGCGCUUACCACUUUGUGAUUCAUGACUGGGGUGAAGUCGUAACAAGGUAACCGUAGGGGAACCUGCGGUUGGAUCACCUCCUUACCUUAAAGAAGC
This 1556-nucleotide ribosomal RNA is filed under the name Escherichia coli. Its description in RNAcentral is "bacterial SSU rRNA". It matches the Rfam family "Bacterial small subunit ribosomal RNA". RNAcentral also lists the same sequence under 2 other names. Lineage: Bacteria; Pseudomonadati; Pseudomonadota; Gammaproteobacteria; Enterobacterales; Enterobacteriaceae. The record is from RNAcentral.